Molecule: unclassified non-coding RNA, 376 nt
Filed under: uncultured bacterium
Lineage: Bacteria
Description: contains 16S-23S intergenic spacer region
Source: RNAcentral
UCCGAUUUGUCACCGGCAGUCUCCCAUGAGUCCCCGACAUUACUCGCUGGCAACAUGGGACAGUGGUUGCGCUCGUUGCGGGACUUAACCCAACAUCUCACGACACGAGCUGACGACAGCCAUGCACCACCUGUACACCGACCUUGCGGGGCACCCAUCUCUGGAUGUUUCCGGUGUAUGUCAAGCCCAGGUAAGGUUCUUCGCGUUGCAUCGAAUUAAUCCAAAUGCUCCGCCGCUUGUGCGGGCCCCCGUCAAUUCCUUUGAGUUUCAGCCUUGCGGCCGUACUCCCCAGGCGGGGUACUUACUGCGUUAGCGACGGCACCGAAGGGGUCGCUCCCCCCGACGCCUAGUACCCAUCGUUUACGGCGUGGACUAC